RNAcentral lists this ribosomal RNA (503 nucleotides) under uncultured bacterium. Its description in RNAcentral is "partial 16S ribosomal RNA". It matches the Rfam family "Bacterial small subunit ribosomal RNA", at positions 30 to 523 of the family's 1533-position model. The record is from RNAcentral.
AUUGAACGCUGGCGGCAGGCUUAACACAUGCAAGUCGAGCGGAGUGAUGGUGCUUGCACUAUCACUUAGCGGCGGACGGGUGAGUAAUGCCUAGGAAUCUGCCUAUUAGUGGGGGACAACAUCUCGAAAGGGAUGCUAAUACCGCAUACGGCCUACGGGAGAAAGAAGGGGAUCACUUGUGACAUUGCGCUAAUAGAUGAGCCUAAGUCGGAUUAGCUAGUUGGUGGGGUAAAGGCCUACCAAGGCGACGAUCUGUAGCGGGUCUGAGAGGAUGAUCCGCCACACUGGGACUGAGACACAGCCCAGACUCCUACGGGAGGCAGCAGUGGGGAAUAUUGGACAAUUGGGGGAACCCUGAUCCAGCCAUGCCGCGUGUGUGAAGAAGGCCUUAUGGUUGUAAAGCACUUUAAGCGAGGAGGAGGCUCUUUUGGUUAAUACCCAAGAUGAGUGGACGUUACUCGCAGAAUAAGCACCGGCUAACUCUGUGCCAGCCGCCGCGGUAA